This 206-nucleotide ribosomal RNA is filed under the name uncultured bacterium. RNAcentral's name for it is "partial 16S ribosomal RNA". It matches the Rfam family "Bacterial small subunit ribosomal RNA", at positions 1287 to 1500 of the family's 1533-position model. The record is from RNAcentral.
CUCAGUUCGGAUUGGAGUCUGCAACUCGACUCCAUGAAGCUGGAUUCGCUAGUAAUCGCGCAUCAGCCAUGGCGCGGUGAAUACGUUCCCGGGCCUUGUACACACCGCCCGUCAAGCCAUGGAAGCCGGGAGUGCCUGAAGUGUGCAACCGCAAGGAGCGCCCUAAGGUAAAACCGGUGACUGGGGCUAAGUCGUAACAAGGUAUC